AGUGAACGCUGGCGGUAGGCCUAACACAUGCAAGUCGAACGGCAGCACAGUAAGAGCUUGCUCUUACGGGUGGCGAGUGGCGGACGGGUGAGGAAUACAUCGGAAUCUACUUUUUCGUGGGGGAUAACGUAGGGAAACUUACGCUAAUACCGCAUACGACCUUCGGGUGAAAGCAGGGGAUCUUCGGACCUUGCGCGAAUGAAUGAGCCGAUGUCGGAUUAGCUAGUUGGCGGGGUAAAGGCCCACCAAGGCGACGAUCCGUAGCUGGUCUGAGAGGAUGGUCGGCCACACUGGAACUGAGACGCGGUCCAGACUCCUACGGGAGGCAGCAGUGGGGAAUAUUGGACAAUGGGCGCAAGCCUGAUCCAGCCAUACCGCGUGGGUGAAGAAGGCCUUCGGGUUGUAAAGCCCUUUUGUGGGGAAAGAAAAGCAGCAGGUUAAUACCCCGCUGUUCUGACGGUACCCAAUGAAUAAGCACCGGCUAACUUCGUG
RNAcentral lists this ribosomal RNA (492 nucleotides) under uncultured bacterium. Its description in RNAcentral is "partial 16S ribosomal RNA". It matches the Rfam family "Bacterial small subunit ribosomal RNA", at positions 29 to 507 of the family's 1533-position model. The record is from RNAcentral.